Molecule: long non-coding RNA, 264 nt
Filed under: Sorghum bicolor (sorghum)
Lineage: Eukaryota; Viridiplantae; Streptophyta; Magnoliopsida; Poales; Poaceae
Description: long non-coding RNA (SBIC_LNC004576)
Source: RNAcentral
UGGGAAGUAGGGAUGGAACGUCUAAUUGUUGGGUAUUUUAAACGCAAACAGAAUAAUCCGCAAGCGCACGGAUACCGAUGUAGCCUUCACCCGGGAGUAUUCCAGAGUAUCGAUUUUCCACAGAGAACGUGAGUGUACUAAUUAAGAUCCAAGCUCGCCCAAGGAUAGCUAUAUAAUUAUUUUUGGUGGGAAGAGAGGAAGUUUCCUGAGAGUUCUCUAGUUGAUCUAAGAAUCAAGAAUUACUUCAAGAUUAUCUAUAUCGGG